GUGCUCACUUUAGCACCACAUAUACUGAAAUUGGAAUGAUACAGAGAAGAUUAGCAUGGCCCCUGUGCAAGGAUGGCACCCAAAUUUGUGAAGUGUUCCAUAUUUAU
RNAcentral lists this small nuclear RNA (107 nucleotides) under Prolemur simus (greater bamboo lemur). The record is from RNAcentral. Lineage: Eukaryota; Metazoa; Chordata; Mammalia; Primates; Lemuridae.